RNAcentral lists this ribosomal RNA (497 nucleotides) under uncultured bacterium. RNAcentral's name for it is "partial 16S ribosomal RNA". It matches the Rfam family "Bacterial small subunit ribosomal RNA", at positions 28 to 507 of the family's 1533-position model. The record is from RNAcentral.
GAUGAACGCUGGCGGCGUGCCUAAUACAUGCAAGUCGAGCGAACAGACGAGGAGCUUGCUCCUUUGACGUUAGCGGCGGACGGGUGAGUAACACGUGGGUAACCUACCUAUAAGACUGGGAUAACUUCGGGAAACCGGAGCUAAUACCGGAUAAUAUUUCGAACCGCAUGGUUCGAUAGUGAAAGAUGGCUCUGCUAUCACUUAUAGAUGGACCUGCGCCGUAUUAGCUAGUUGGUAAGGUAACGGCUUACCAAGGCAACGAUACGUAGCCGACCUGAGAGCGUGAUCGGGCACACUGGAACUGAGACACGGUCCAGACUCCUACGGGAGGCAGCAGUAGGGAAUCUUCCGCAAUGGGCGAAAGCCUGACGGAGAAACGCCGCGUGAGUGACGAAGGUAUUCGGAUCGUAAAACUCUGUUAUUAGGGAAGAACAAACGUGUAAGUAACUGUGCACGUAUUGACGGUACCUAAUCAGAAAGCCACGGCUAACUACGUG